GGAGAGGUGCCGGAGUGGUCGAACGGGCUUGACUCGAAAUCAAGUGUACGCCUCGUGCGUACCGUGGGUUCGAAUCCCACCCUCUCCG
Molecule: transfer RNA, 88 nt
Filed under: Oceanococcus atlanticus
Lineage: Bacteria; Pseudomonadati; Pseudomonadota; Gammaproteobacteria; Chromatiales; Oceanococcaceae
Rfam family: tRNA
About the family: Transfer RNA (tRNA) molecules are approximately 80 nucleotides in length. Their secondary structure includes four short double-helical elements and three loops (D, anti-codon, and T loops).
Source: Rfam by way of RNAcentral